Molecule: long non-coding RNA, 755 nt
Organism: Gadus chalcogrammus (walleye pollock)
Lineage: Eukaryota; Metazoa; Chordata; Actinopteri; Gadiformes; Gadidae
Exons: 4
Source: RefSeq, a predicted model, not a curated record
CCCCACUUGUAUUGGAGUGGACGGCGAUAUCUACUUCUGGGCCACACGAAAUGACGGACCCCCGUCCACUCCCAGCUAAAACAGCUGCAAUACCAGGCUUGGCCUCUGAGCACUGGUGGAUUGCGGAAGUAUAUGCCUGUCCUGGGGGCCUGGUUCGAUCCACACUUCACGAUUAGCCCGUUUUGAGUACGGCAUCCGGGUCCUUGAAGUAUACUUAUUUUCGCCCGAUCUGAAUUGGAACGUACUGCGUACUCAAAUGUUGGCUAGUAAGUACGGAUAGUACGGGUAUUGGAACACGGCGGGGCGGGACUCUGCCCAAGUUUUCCCGCUUCUUCUCAGUUUGGGGCCGAAUCAACUGAACAAUAGAAUCUCGGAUCUCCAUUUUUGUGCCAUUCAAGUGCAUGUGACGAUUGAUCUGGACUCAAGCUGUAGGCCUACCAGUCAGAUGAGUAACUCGGUGGAGGAGGUGAGACACCAUAUCAAUACUUUAAACAUCUGUUCAUGCAACAUUGGAGGACUUUGCGGAUAUCAGGGCCUACUUUUCCACAACAAAAUGGAACCGCCUCUGUAUGGCAGAGAAAAAAAGAUUCAUGCAGAUCAAGGAAAACCAUUUGGUUCUGGCGUCUCUUGGCCUGUCCUUUGUGGCUCCAGCCUUCAUGAGGAGAGAGAAGCCCGGCCAGGUGAGAGUCUGCUCACCUGAAGAGACAGACUCUGAGGAGGAGCAGCUCUGGACCUCUGGAUUGACCGGUACAAAG